CUAUCACCACCCUUGGUAUCACUCGCACUAGGACAAUGCAUAAAAUUCAUCAGGAUCCUAGUCAACAAUUUUCCACCUUCAAUGUGCACGACCAUGCUUCAGAUCUAGAGACAGAUAAUUCUGCAAGAAAAAAGGGUAGACAGGAAUUUGACAAGCCUCUACAAGAGGAAAUUUAUACCAAACCUACUGAGUUGAACGUCAGUACUGCUAAAUAUACGGUUUCACCAGGUUCAGUGAGAGAAAAUGGACAAUCAAGAGAAGUCAAUGUUGAUGUUAAACAAGAGGAUACCGAUCAGCACUUCCUUGAUAGAAGUCCUCAAUUGGGCACACAACAUGUGGGAAAAUUGUCAGAAACAUUUGAUCCUAGUGGUGGAGAUGGAGAAGAAAUAUUACUUGAAUCUGACAGUUCUAAGCAGGUGAAGAACAUCACAUUUCAGUCUUCACCUUCUGCUCUAUUCAAGAAGUUUGAUAAUAAUCCUCUGGGACAAAAUGAACAAGUUCCACAACAAAGCCCCUCAAAUAAAUCAUACGAAAAACAGGUUGCUGCAAAACCAAAUCUCAGAUGAAUUUCUACAUCAGAAAGGUGUUAAAGUUGCCAAAUCCUUUGGUCCAGAUAGCUCUGAGUUGAUUCAGUUGAAAUCUCUUGUUCAGGGGCAUAUUCCUUUCAUUAACCCUACUAAUAAUGUGAGUCCACCAUUAGCGUCACAGCAAUCUGCACCAAGUCUGAUUGCAGCUUCAGUCAGUCAAUCAACCCUUCAGAAUCAGAUGUGCUGCUUCAUAGUCAAUAUCAAAUAGCCGAUGAACAAUAUUCUCAAAAUAUUCAAACUCAAAAUGCCAUGGGCUCAGACUUCCACAUUCCAACUAUUUCUCAAGCAAAUGAAUUUCCGACAAGGCCUUCCAGUUCUUUAAUGGAUUAUCCUCAAUUGUAUCAACAAAAUGUGUUUCCACCUAGAAAUGACUUUGCUCAGCCCUCAUUGAUGCCUCUUUUGCAACUGGAGUUUAGUCAUCCACAAUCAGUUGACUUUAGCUAUCGUCCUUUAUAUCAUCCAGAAUCAUCUCGUCUACCUCCAAUAUGCUUAAAUAAAUACAAACACAAGUACCUGUGGGUGCUCCUCAGGAUAUAUCAUUCCAUCAUGAAACCCAGCUUCUGGGCCAAGAAGGUGAAAUCUUGGAUGCACAGCAGAGAGAACAUCACAUCCACCACAAGUCUUUUGUUCGUGAAGAUAUUCAAAUUCCAUCAUCAGGCCUAGUACCUAGCUCAUUUUAUCAUGGAACUCCUGUUCAUCUUAGGUCAUUACUAUUAGCAGGGGAAUCCUUUUCUAAUGUGCACUCUGUACCAGGGGAGCUUUGCAACCAAGGCUUCUUCCUAAGCAAGAUUUUUCCUCUGUCAAGGAUUUGCCUUAUUCCAACCAUGCUUAAGAUAUCCUUUGCUUGGCCACAUGACACAAGCAGUCAUUUUCCCUCAGUGCCUACUGGUCACAGCUUGGUUGAUCCCUUCGUACAGAAAAUCCUACCAGAAACUGAUCUGCCAACUCAAAUAUCUAGCAUUACCAUGCUUAAGAUGCCUAUCUCAAUGCACCAUAACCCGUUUGCGUCAACUUUUGAACAGAGGCCUGCAACUACAAGAUUAGGCUAUGAUGCUUCUGAUUUAGGGCCAAGACUAAAACCUUCACUACCAAAUUUCAGAUUGUCGGAGGAGCAGAGUUCACCAAGUAUUACUGGUUACACUCUUGAAACUUCAGGUGUCCCACCUCAUUUCCCAAGGAAAUCUGUCAGUGAGCUAGCAGGAGAUACCUUGUAUGAUCCAUUAUUUGAUAGCAUUGAACCUUCUGGCAUACUCAAGAAGUUAGUUCAUCCUCAGAAAGGGCAAUCUUCUACUGAUGUCAGUUCAGUAUUGAAAUUCAGUAGCUUGUCCACUACUGCAGAUGCUCCACACAACAUUAGAGGAUAGAAGGAUUGGGGCUAGUGAACUGAAGUCAGUAGUUGAUGACUUCAUUGAGGCGGCAACUUAUGCUGAAGUGGGGGUUGUGGAGAAUGAUAGCCCUCAGCUGAUCAAUGAAAAAGAUUGGAGUCCUGACAAUCUGGCUAAUACUGGUGCUGGGGAAAUUGAUACUGAUCAGGUUCAUUCACCUGGGAAGAAAGUUAAGUCUAAGGACUCAAGAUCGAUGAAGCUUUUUAAGAUUGCACUUGCAGAGUUUGUCAAGGAAGUCUUGAAGUCAUCAUGGAGACAGGGUAAUAUGAGCAAAGAAGCAUUCAAAACAAUUGUAAAGAAGACUGUGGAUAAAGUGUCUAGAUCAGUGGCCACCCGUCAGAUUCCUAAAACACAGGCAAAGAUUGACCAAUAUGUUGAAUCAUCCCAGAGAAAGCUGUUAUGGGCUAUGUUGACAAGUAUGUUAAGAUGUAAAUGAUCACCAUUCUAUUACAAGUUCUUUAUGAAUCAGAGGAUCUUGCUGCGGCAGGAAUAAAAUGGACCACUCCCAAUGAGAGAUAUCAGAUGGCGAGGCGAGACCAUAAUAUGAUCUUGGGAGCAUCUGGAGUAAUAUGAUGGUCAUACUCUCCUUGCAAGGGGAGGCUAUGGUUGAGACCCCUGGAGAAUGUCUUUACCCUCUCUGUUGUGGCUUGUGUAGGUGUUUUUUCACAAAUACUUUAGUGAUCCUCCAUGGCUCAAACAGUGAGAGUUUCAAACAGAGAACAUCGAUGAUGAGUGGAGACCGAUGAAGAUGAGAGCGACCCAGUUGGAUGCAAAGACUAGAAUUCCCUGAAAUGGUUGGGAGGACAUUUGCUAACGGUGAUUCGUUGCUGAUAUUGCAUGAUUUGGAAACACAAUGGAAAAGUUGCCUCAGAUAGGAUUUGAAUCAUGGAAUAUGAUUGUGAGUUUGAGAAUGUUAAACUAUUUAUACAUAUUUCAUAAAGUUAUUAUAUAAUUUACUAUUUUUAUGUACAAAAUUAGACUGUAUCAGCCCCAGUGGAUAUACUGAUCAAAUAGUAUGCCUUAAUCACUCAAUGCAUUUUUUUU
Long non-coding RNA from Zingiber officinale, 3016 nucleotides. RefSeq lists it as uncharacterized. The record is from RefSeq and is a predicted model, not a curated record. NCBI's taxonomy places the organism in Eukaryota, Viridiplantae, Streptophyta, Magnoliopsida, Zingiberales, Zingiberaceae. The transcript has 4 exons.